Molecule: RNase P RNA, 389 nt
Filed under: Alistipes sp.
Lineage: Bacteria; Pseudomonadati; Bacteroidota; Bacteroidia; Bacteroidales; Rikenellaceae
Description: RNase P RNA component class A
Rfam family: Bacterial RNase P class A
About the family: Ribonuclease P (RNase P) is a ubiquitous endoribonuclease, found in archaea, bacteria and eukarya as well as chloroplasts and mitochondria. Its best characterised activity is the generation of mature 5'-ends of tRNAs by cleaving the 5'-leader elements of precursor-tRNAs.
Source: RNAcentral
CGGCACACUCGCUCUAUCGCUGCCUGUGCAAACAGGGGGAGGAAAGUCCGAGCAACAUAGAGCACCGUUCAGGUUAACGGCCUGAUGUCCGUGAGGGCAUAGUAGCGUAACAGAAAAUAACCGCCCCAUACGGAGUUUCGACCUUGGAGGUUCGGGGCUCGGGGUAAGGGUGAAAAGGCGGGGUAAGAGCCCACCGCGAAGGUAGCAAUACGCUUCGGCAGUACGUCUAACGGGUUGCAAGACCAUGUAUACCGAUAAUUAAGGAUUGCUCGUCCGCUGUCGGGGGGUAGGUCGCUAGAGACUGUGGGAGACUGCAGUAGUAGAUAAAUGAUAGAGGCUUCGUCCGCAAGGGUGGAGAACAGAACUCGGCUUAUAGAGUGUGCAUAAAA